RNAcentral lists this ribosomal RNA (116 nucleotides) under Pteropus alecto (black flying fox). The record is from RNAcentral. Lineage: Eukaryota; Metazoa; Chordata; Mammalia; Chiroptera; Pteropodidae.
GUCUAUGCCCAUGCUACCCUAAACAAGCCUGAUCCCAUCUGAUCUCGGAAGCUAAGCAAGAUUGGACCUGGUUAGCAAGAGGGGAGACCACCUAGGAAGACCAGGAGCUGUAGGUG